Long non-coding RNA from Alosa sapidissima (American shad), 397 nucleotides. RefSeq lists it as uncharacterized. The record is from RefSeq and is a predicted model, not a curated record. Lineage: Eukaryota; Metazoa; Chordata; Actinopteri; Clupeiformes; Clupeidae. The transcript is spliced from 3 exons.
CGGCAAACCAAGGACGUUGAAAAUGCCUGCAGCAGAGAGGUGGUGGAAAAGGAGACAUUUUAAGUGUCCUCAUUUUCAAUGUCAUGGCGGUGGUCACCCUAUGUGAGGGGGACGUCUUGGGAGUGUCUAUGCUCUACGUGAAGUUUGUGCUGAAACCUUGGACCAGCCCAUCAACAGCAGUCUGUUCAGUACUGCCUACAGACAGUUCUCUCCUGAUCCCUCCUCCAUUGAACUGCCCCCCUCAAACCCAUCCCAUUCAUCAGCACUCAAACUACAGGCUGUGGCGGUGGUGGCGGCGAAGGUCUGAAUUCCAGAACUGGUUUACUGUAAGGAUGGUCAUGGGUAAGGAUUUGAAAAAAUUCAAUGUCAUCAGUCAUUGUGGCUUUGUUGUUGUACU